RNAcentral lists this unclassified non-coding RNA (423 nucleotides) under Hevea brasiliensis (rubber tree). Lineage: Eukaryota; Viridiplantae; Streptophyta; Magnoliopsida; Malpighiales; Euphorbiaceae. The record is from RNAcentral.
AAAUCCCAUAAAUACAGAAUUUUCUUGCCCAGGAGAAUUCUUUAUUCUACUUUCUCUCUCUUAUUUUUCUGUUCUUUCCUCUCUCUUUGAAAUUUCUGGGAAACCUGAGAUCCGCUGUUUGCAAUAGCGUGAUCUAAGGUUUCUAUCACUCCUUUUUCUCUUGAAUGUUAAGCCUAUUUCUCCCGUCCCUUAUUCAAUAUCUUUUUUUUCUUUCAUUUCAUUUUAUUUGGAGGAGAAUUCCUAGGGGAGGAUUUCAUUUUUCAUGAUGAGUGAUCACGUCGUGUUGUACGUCGACCACCUUAUGAGGCCCCCGGCUGCUCAGAUGGCUCCGGAGGCCUCUUCUUCCACGCCCAAUGAGGGAAGCGACGCUGUUGGUCCCGGCCACCAGAGGAACCAAUACCAGGAAAGGGGGGAGGAAGAGGA